This 566-nucleotide ribosomal RNA is filed under the name Sebacina sp. 10 SE-2015. RNAcentral describes it as "eukaryotic LSU rRNA". The stretch from base 170 to 324 matches the Rfam family "5.8S ribosomal RNA". The record is from RNAcentral. Lineage: Eukaryota; Fungi; Basidiomycota; Agaricomycetes; Sebacinales; Sebacinaceae.
UAUUGAUUGUGAAUCGUUGCCUUCAGUGCUGGCCAGCUCUGGGAAGGGCCCCCUGGUGACUUUCAUCCAUUCCCCUGUGAACCUUUGGCCUCUUGCUUGCUUCAGUGGGCAGAGGAUUUACACUCACUCUAAUGUAAUGAAACUAUGUUGUGCGAAAGCACGAAUGUACAACUUUCAACAACGGAUCUCUUGGCUCUCGCAUCGAUGAAGAACGCAGCGAAAUGCGAUAAGUAAUGUGAAUUGCAUAAUUCACUGAAUCAUCCAAUCUUUGAACGCACCUUGCACCCUUUGGUAUCCCCAAAGGGUAUGCUCGUUUGAGUGUCAUUGUACCCUCCCACUUCUGGUCUUUGGGCUGGGAUCGGUGGACUUGGGUGUUGCUGCUUUACCGUGGUUCACCUUAAAUGCAUUACUGCAUCUCCACAUUGGACAUAGUACAACGUGAUAAAUAUCUUCGCUGGCGCCUCGCUUCACAGGGUGGCUGAUCCAUAGCUCUGUGCUUUCAAACCGUCUCUGACAAUAACUGACAACUUGGCCUCAAAUCGAGUAGGACUACCCGCUGAACUUAA